GAUGAACGCUGGCGGCGUGCCUAAUACAUGCAAGUCGAGCGAACGGACGAGAAGCUUGCUUUUCUGAUGUUAGCGGCGGACGGGUGAGUAACACGUGGAUAACCUACCUAUAAGACUGGUAUAACUUCGGGAAACCGGAGCUAAUACCGGAUAAUAUUUUGAACCGCAUGGUUCAAAAGUGAAAGACGGUCUUGCUGUCACUUAUAGAUGGAUCCGCGCUGCAUUAGCUAGUUGGUAAGGUAACGGCUUACCAAGGCAACGAUGCAUAGCCGACCUGAGAGGGUGAUCGGCCACCCUGGAACUGAGACACGGUCCAGACUCCUACGGGAGGCAGCAGUAGGGAAUCUUCCGCAAUGGGCGAAAGCCUGACGGAGCAACGCCGCGUGAGUGAUGAAGGUCUUCGGAUCGUAAAACUCUGUUAUUAGGGAAGAACAUAUGUGUAAGUAACUGUGCACAUCUUGACGGUACCUAAUCAGAAAGCAACGGCUAACUACGUG
RNAcentral lists this ribosomal RNA (497 nucleotides) under uncultured bacterium. RNAcentral describes it as "partial 16S ribosomal RNA". It matches the Rfam family "Bacterial small subunit ribosomal RNA", at positions 28 to 507 of the family's 1533-position model. The record is from RNAcentral.